GACGAACGCUGGCGGCGUGCCUAAUACAUGCAAGUGGGACGCAAGGAAACACACUGUGCUUGCACACCGUGUUUUCUUGAGUCGCGAACGGGUGAGUAACGCGUAGGUAACCUGCCUAUUAGCGGGGGAUAACUAUUGGAAACGAUAGCUAAUACCGCAUAAUAUUAAUUAUUGCAUGAUAAUUGAUUGAAAGAUGCAAGCGCAUCACUAGUAGAUGGACCUGCGUUGUAUUAGCUAGUUGGUAAGGUAAGAGCUUACCAAGGCGACGAUACAUAGCCGACCCGGGAGGGUGGUCCGCCACCCUGGGACUGAGACACGGCCCAGACUCCUACGGGAAGCAGCAGUAGGGAAUCUUCGGCAAUGGACGAAAGUCUGACCGAGCAACGCCGCGUGAGUGAAGAAGGUUUUCGGAUCGUAAAGCUCUGUUGUAAGUCAAGAACGUGUGUGAGAGUGGAAAGUUCACACAGUGACGGUAGCUUAUCAGAAAGGGACGGCUAACUACGUG
RNAcentral lists this ribosomal RNA (505 nucleotides) under uncultured bacterium. Its description in RNAcentral is "partial 16S ribosomal RNA". It matches the Rfam family "Bacterial small subunit ribosomal RNA", at positions 28 to 507 of the family's 1533-position model. The record is from RNAcentral.